This 87-nucleotide microRNA precursor is filed under the name Malus domestica (apple). The record is from RNAcentral. Lineage: Eukaryota; Viridiplantae; Streptophyta; Magnoliopsida; Rosales; Rosaceae.
GAAGGUAUUGACGCGCCUCAAUUUGAACGRGUGGCUYAUAUUGGAGACUUAACCAUGCGAUUCUGAUUGAGCCGCGUCAAUAUCUCC